Molecule: ribosomal RNA, 569 nt
Filed under: Trechodes cf. lucanerii SMNS L1709
Lineage: Eukaryota; Metazoa; Arthropoda; Insecta; Coleoptera; Carabidae
Description: SSU rRNA
Rfam family: Eukaryotic small subunit ribosomal RNA
Source: RNAcentral
AGUCAUAUGCUUGUCUCAAAGAUUAAGCCAUGCAUGUCUUCGUACAAACUAAAUUAAAGUGAAACCGCGAAAGGCUCAUUAAAUCAGUUAUGGUUCCUUAGAUCGUCCCACAGUUACUUGGAUAACUGUGGUAAUUCUAGAGCUAAUACAUGCAAACAGAGCUCCAACCGGAGACGGAAGGAGUGCUUUUAUUAGAUUAAAACCAAUCGGCGGCAGUACAGUUUCGAUUGUGCUGUUCGUCGAACAUAAUGAUGAAUCUGAAUAACUUAUAGCUGAUCGCACGGUCUUGCACCGGCGAUGCAUCUUUCAAAUGUCUGCCUUAUCAACUUACGAUGGUAGGAUCUGCGCCUACCAUGGUUGUAACGGGUAACGGGGAAUCGGGGUUCGAUUCCGGAGAGGGAGCUUGAGAAACGGCUACCACAUCCAAGGAAGGCAGCAGGCGCGCAAAUUACCCACUCCCGGCACGGGGAGGUAGUGACGAAAAAUAACGAUACGGGACUCAUCCGAGGCCCCGUAAUCGGAAUGAGAACAAUUUAAAUCCUUUAUCAAGGACCAAUGGAGGGAAAGUC